This 494-nucleotide ribosomal RNA is filed under the name uncultured bacterium. Its description in RNAcentral is "partial 16S ribosomal RNA". It matches the Rfam family "Bacterial small subunit ribosomal RNA", at positions 28 to 507 of the family's 1533-position model. The record is from RNAcentral.
GACGAACGCUGGCGGCGCGCUUAACACAUGCAAGUCGAACGGAAAGGCCUGCUUUCCCUUGUGGAUUGCGGGUACUCGAGUGGCGAACGGGUGAGUAACACGUGAGUGAUCUGCCCCCAACUUGGGUAUAAGCCUGGGAAACUGGGUCUAAUUCCCGAUAGGACUGCAGGGUGGUGCCUGUGGUGGAAAACGAUUUUCUAGUGGUUGGGGAUGAGCUCGCGGCCUAUCAGCUUGUUGGUGGGGUAAUGGCCUACCAAGGCGGCGACGGGUAGCCGGCCUGAGAGGGUGGACGGCCACAUUGGGACUGAGAUACGGCCCAGACUCCUACGGGAGGCGGCAGUGGGGAAUAUUGCACAAUGGGCGGAAGCCUGAUGCAGCGACGCCGCGUGGGGGAUGACGGCCUUCGGGUUGUAAACUCCUUUCGACCGCGAGGAAGCCACCUGGUUGGAAGGGUGGUGACGGUAGUGGUAGAAGAAGCACCGGCUAACUACGUG